Molecule: transfer RNA, 16 nt
Filed under: Sphagnum davidii
Lineage: Eukaryota; Viridiplantae; Streptophyta; Sphagnopsida; Sphagnales; Sphagnaceae
Also listed under: 5 other names
Description: partial tRNA-Phe
Source: RNAcentral
ACAGAAGCCGGGAUAG